CAAUAGCGUAUAUUAAAGUUGUUGCGGUUAAAAAGCUCGUAGUUGGAUUUCUGCUGAGAACGACCGGUCCGCCCUUUGGGUGUGUAUCUGGCUCCUUCUUGGCAUCUUCUUGGUGAACGUUGCUGCACUUGACUGUGUGGAGCGCUACCCAGGACUUUUACUUUGAGGAAAUUAGAGUGUUUCAAGCAGGCAUACGCCUUGAAUACAUUAGCAUGGAAUAAUAAGAUAGGACCUCGGUUCUAUUUUGUUGGUUUCUAGAGCUGAGGUAAUGAUUAAUAGGGAUAGUUGGGGGCAUUCGUAUUUAACUGUCAGAGGUGAAAUUCUUGGAUUUGUUAAAGACGAACUACUGCGAAAGCAUUUGCCAAGGAUGUUUUCAUUGA
This 380-nucleotide ribosomal RNA is filed under the name uncultured eukaryote. RNAcentral's name for it is "partial 18S ribosomal RNA". It matches the Rfam family "Eukaryotic small subunit ribosomal RNA", at positions 592 to 976 of the family's 1831-position model. The record is from RNAcentral.